CCUACGGGAGGCAGCAGUGGGGAAUUUUGGACAAUGGGCGCAAGCCUGAUCCAGCAAUGCCGCGUGAGUGAAGAAGGCCUUCGGGCUGUAAAGCUCUUUUGUCAGGGAAGAAACGGCUGAGGUUAAUACCUUUGGCUAAUGACGGUACCUGAAGAAUAAGCACCGGCUAACUACGUGCCAGCAGCCGCGGUAAUACGUAGGGUGCAAGCGUUAAUCGGAAUUACUGGGCGUAAAGCGUGCGCAGGCGGUUUUGUAAGUCUGACGUGAAAUCCCCGGGCUCAACCUGGGAAUUGCGUUGGAGACUGCAAGGCUGGAGUCUGGCAGAGGGGGGUAGAAUUCCACGUGUAGCAGUGAAAUGCGUAGAGAUGUGGAGGAACACCGAUGGCGAAGGCAGCCCCCUGGGUCAAGACUGACGCUCAUGCACGAAAGCGUGGGGAGCAAACAGGAUUAGAUACCCUGGUAGUCCACGCCCUAAACGAUGUCUACUAGUUGUCGGGUCUUAAUUGACUUGGUAACGCAGCUAACGCGUGAAGUAGACCGCCUGGGGAGUACGGUCGCAAGAUUAAAACCGUCAAAGUAGUAGUAGGCGUGNGAGAGACGACGACGACGACGACGGGAGGGAGGAGG
RNAcentral lists this ribosomal RNA (627 nucleotides) under uncultured bacterium. RNAcentral describes it as "bacterial SSU rRNA". It matches the Rfam family "Bacterial small subunit ribosomal RNA", at positions 338 to 1280 of the family's 1533-position model. The record is from RNAcentral.